This 253-nucleotide ribosomal RNA is filed under the name uncultured bacterium. RNAcentral describes it as "partial 16S ribosomal RNA". It matches the Rfam family "Bacterial small subunit ribosomal RNA", at positions 524 to 776 of the family's 1533-position model. The record is from RNAcentral.
UACGUAGGUGGCAAGCGUUGUCCGGAUUUAUUGGGUUUAAAGGGUGCGUAGGCGGUUUUUUAAGUCAGUGCUGAAAUACUCCAGCUUAACUGGAGGGGUGGCAUUGAUACUGGAAGACUUGAGUACAGAUGAGGUAGGCGGAAUUGACGGUGUAGCGGUGAAAUGCAUAGAUAUCGUCAAGAACACCGAUAGCGAAGGCAGCUUACUGGGCUGUAACUGACGCUGAUGCACGAAAGCGUGGGGAGCAAACAGG